This 390-nucleotide unclassified non-coding RNA is filed under the name soil metagenome. RNAcentral's name for it is "partial contains 5.8S ribosomal RNA, internal transcribed spacer 2, and large subunit ribosomal RNA". The stretch from base 1 to 122 matches the Rfam family "5.8S ribosomal RNA", at positions 35 to 154 of the family's 154-position model. The record is from RNAcentral.
GAUGAAGAACGUAGCGAAAUGCGAUACUUGGUGUGAAUUGCAGAAUCCCGUGAACCAUCGAGUCUUUGAACGCAAGUUGCGCCCGAAGCCAUUAGGCCGAGGGCACGCCUGCCUGGGCGUCACACGUCGUUGCCCCCCCAUCUACUCCUUCGGGAUUGCGGGGGGCGGAUGAUGGCCUCCCGUGCGCCUCGUCGCGCGGUUGGCAUAAAUGCCAAGUCCUCGGCGACGCACGCCACGACAAUCGGUGGUUGCGAAACCUCGGUUGCCCGUCGUGUGCGGUCGUCGCGCAUCGAGGGCUCGAAAAAAUUGCCGGGCUCCGGCUCGGCUUUCAACGCGACCCCAGGUCAGGCGGGGUUACCCGCUGAGUUUAAGCAUAUCAAUAAGCGGAGA